UACGAAGGGGGCUAGCGUUGCUCGGAAUCACUGGGCGUAAAGGGUGCGUAGGCGGUUCUUUAAGUCAGGGGUGAAAUCCUGGAGCUCAACUCCAGAACUGCCUUUGAUACUGAGGAUCUUGAGUUCGGGAGAGGUGAGUGGAACUGCGAGUGUAGAGGUGAAAUUCGUAGAUAUUCGCAAGAACACCAGUGGCGAAGGCGGCUCACUGGCCCGAUACUGACGCUGAGGUGCGAAAGCGUGGGGAGCAAACAGG
RNAcentral lists this ribosomal RNA (253 nucleotides) under uncultured bacterium. RNAcentral describes it as "partial 16S ribosomal RNA". It matches the Rfam family "Bacterial small subunit ribosomal RNA", at positions 524 to 776 of the family's 1533-position model. The record is from RNAcentral.